UUUAAAAUUUGAAGUUCUCUCUCAAGUUUAGACAUAACUGUUAUAAUUUAAAGUUUGCUCUAAACCUGAACUUGUGGGAAGAGAACUUAAUCUGAAGUCUAAGUUGUUAACGGAUAUGAUACGGGAAGGUUGAGCUGCUAUUUAUCUGUUCGUAGAGAUGCUAGAAUUCUGGAGAACGUUGUAUUUGAAAAUCUUUAAAAUAAUACAUGAUGAGUUCCUGUAUGAUGAGAGUUUAAAUUCCUACCACAGCCAUAUAUACAUGCUUGCUAGACUUUGAGCCACACAUUUACUUUUUUACUGCUUAUGAGCAUUGAGUGUGGUCAAGCUGUGUAGACCCUUAGGAGCUUGUGAUGUGGUUAAAUCAAGAUUCACUUGCACGUUCACUCACACAUGCUGCUUCUACUCCGGAAGUACGCAUCCACAUAUAUCCACCCAUUUCCAUCUCCAGAACCACCCAAAAAUAUUCUACUCCUAAUCCGGGAGAGAACGGCCAAAAAUAUAUCUGUUUUCCCUUGUAAAAUAAAUGCUCAAGUUAUCUUCGUUACUACCACUUGCUAUAUUAUUUCAGGAGAUGAGUGUUCUAAAAAAAAGAAGAUAUGAGGAAAUAAAAAUAGGCAAGUGCCCGGAACCUCGAAAGAAAAGAAAAGGUGAGACGAGAGGUAAAAAUGGACAAGUGUCCGAUAGUAGAAUUAGGGGUACAAGAUACCCACCUGAGAGGAAAGAAAAAGAAAAAUAUAGAGUAUCUCAUUCUCCUCAAAAAGUUUCAAAGAGCAAGGAAGGUAUGUAUCCCCUCAAAGAGCAAAAGUAGAAUUAGACUUUCACCAUUGCUAUCACCAUCAUCACCAUACGCCAUUCAUUCGCCACACAUGCAUAUCUUGAUUUGACUUAUUGAUUUGUUUCUUUGGAUCCGUGGUUUGACUAUACAAUAAAUGUCCUGUGAGUAUGUAUACUUUAUCUCCCACCUAUGAGCUCUAGAUAUUAAAGCCUUAUUAGAGUAGGGUGAGAGAGAAGGCAAUGUCACUAUGCUUUAUACCACAAAUACUACAUAUUUUGAGUGAAGGCAUAUACCAUCACUACCUUGGUAAGGAUCCAGAAAUACCACAAAAGAAGUCAUACAAGGAAUCUCUGAGUUUUAUUUGAAAAUCUACAAAAACUCCAGAGCUAUAGUUGAUCAAGAAUAAGAGAUAUGGCACUUGACUAGCACUACAAGAAACAUUGUAAUCUAUGACGAAUUCUUUGUGACGAAUUUAGAGAACGUCGCUAACAAUACAGACUCGCGUAUAUCAUGGUGGAUAUCCAACCCAUAGCCCAGUUCAGACUCGCGUAUAUAAUGCAGCUCCAAAACCUAAUCCCACCCCUUCUCGGUACUUCUGUCACCAGCCGCCGCCCCACACCAAACCAUCCCAGCUGCUGACCACACGCAUCCCACAUGGUUCAGUGGCCGCCUCCACCCCACCCCAUUGGAGCACGCCGAGUUGCCAAGUCCAGCGCAUGCAUGUAGAGGACGACGGUGGCAGCACCCAAACCUAGUUGUCGCCCUGACGAUUGAGCCAUUCGGGAAGCUAUCUGCGCCUGCAUCCAGAUCUGGCGUCCUCGCGCUGCCACCGCUACCUACUAUCCCCGACGUGGAUUGGAGAUCCUGCUAGGGCCUAAUUGCUCCUCCUCCUUCCCUGGUAAGAAAGCCUUUGCUUUGUUUGGCCGUGAUGCUGGAUUACUUGCUUUGUCCUGGAAGAAGAAUCCAAUCCGUCCAGAUAGUUGCAGUGUGGAAUCCUGUGCUAUGUGCGUCCGUAGUUUUUGAAGUUUUUAGAGCCCUAUGUGCCUUUAGCUUUGGAUCCAUUGCAGGCAGCCCCAAUCUAUCGUGGAUGUCACGGAUCUGCAAUGUUCUGAAUUUUCUAGGAUCCAGUGCAACUCCAAUCCAUCAUGGAUGUGCAGGAUCUGAAUUUUUCUUGAUAGUAACUAGUAUGAGCAAAUUUGUAUCCAAUGAAAUCGUUCUCUAGCUGAUAAAUGACACUUGGACAUCAGGACUUAUUUUUAGAUAGCUUGUUCUACUUUCUGUGCUCAUUUUUUCCUUGCAAACACUUGAUAAAUAUAUCCCAUGGCUAAAUGAGUUGCCUGCAGUGACUCGAUAUCUCCAAUUUGGUGGAUGUAAGUUUCUGUUGGUUUGCAGGAGCACUGGAUGAACAUGCUUUCUGCGUUCUCUAAUUGGCAGCACAUUAACUGAAUGAAGGGUUUGUGCAGAUUAUUCAUUGGACUCUGCUCCACUCUGGUACUAAUAAUUUCGACUAUUGCUCAUACUAUUUGCCAUGGUCAUCUUUCCAUUCUUUAUGCUAUAGUGCUAAUCUACAAUUAGCCUAUACAAAAAAUAAAGCAUCCUUUCACUAGAAUUUUUCUAGAUAAAUGCAAGUGCUUUUUGAUUAAUAGUAUCUAGUUAUUGAGCUCCUUUGGUGGACUGUUUGUCUGUUGAUUAUUUUGUAGGAUACAAUACUAUGGUCCAUUGAUUAUUAUUUUCUAGGAUACAGUACUAUGGUCCAUUGAUUAUUAGUAAGUCCUGUUUAUUUCUAGAAUUCACUUAUUGAUUAAGUUGCCUCUAUGUAACGGACUUUCAUCUUUUUGGAUAAUUCUCUCUUUUAAGUCUUGUUUUUUCUAGCAUGACAAGGCAAUUGUGCCAAACCAACUCGAAAUAACAGCUACAAGGUUGGAGGGGACCGAAUUGUUGCUAGGAUGGAGGAGACAAAACAGUUACAUGGUUGGAGGCGAUAAAUAUGUCGAUAUGGUUGUAUGAAUAUUAUUAGUUGUAUAAAUUGCUACAUGGAUGGCGAUAAAUAUGUCGAUAUUGGUUGUAUGAAUAUUAUUAGUUGUAUAAAUUAGUAUUGUUUUAAAUCUCUUUGUCAUCUAUGUGUAAAUAGGCGUACUUUUUGUAUAUAUAAACAUAUUUGACUAAAUGGUUUGUAAAUAUGAUUUGAUCUAUUUGGGAAUGCCAAAAAAUAUCAGCAUAUUUAUAUUGACCAUUGGCCCAUUAAUAAAUGGGAUAUGAUUCAUAAAAAAAAGGCCGAAAUGGUGUUGUAAGCAUCCACGUCAUUGUCCACAUAAGCAUUCAUGAUGACAUGUCAAUUCAUCCAUGACGGUUAUUUUUUGUCACAGAAAAUGGACUUGGGUUGGGCUAACUGGGCUUUGGGCUCAACUGUGACGGUCUUAAACCGUCAUAGAUUACAUCAAUCUGUGACGAUUUUUGAAAAACCGUCAUGAGGGUCAAUCCAUGACGAUAUUAAAAACCGUCAUAGAUAUUGAAUUGUGACGGUUUUUUAGCGAUCUAUGACGAAAAUUUUCCGUCAUGAAUUAACAUGAUUCUUGUAGUGUAGACUGUUCUAUCUUUUAACUACUCAAGACAGAAGUGACGGUUACAAGUCCCAUGGUAAAAGGUAAAAUAAGUACGUUUUAAGUCUUGAUAGUUUACUCUAACUCAGAAAUGAGACCUCAUUUAAAAGCAUGUGUACCGUCAAUUUUUGAAGGUGUUAUAGCAACUUCUGAUCCAUCACUGAGAUUAUCCUUUCUUAGGGACGAGCAAGAGGUAAGAUUGGGGGAGUUUGUUGAUGGUCCUUAAGUAUCAAAUUUAAUUAACAAAUAAGCAAAGAAAAGGAUCUAAAUGCAACCUACAUCCUGACUUAGGGUUUUAUCUGACAGAAUUCCACGAGUUUUGGUGUUUGUCUAUUUCUAUAGGGGGUUAUCAGGAAAUACGGAAGAAAGGCCCACACGUCGGGUUUACAUAGAGAUAUCAACGUGCCGCGCAAUUAUCUUACAUCUAGAAGAGUCCAAAAGCCACGGGAACGAACAGGAGACCGGACGGGCUCGGGGGCGGGGCGCCCGCCCUCCCCCCUAGGGCGCCCGCCAUGGCUUUUCCACCAAUCAUGGCCAAUCUCACAGAUCAUGCUCCACCAACCUAAAGGAACAAGGAUAAUCGUUCAAUCAACGUCGGUUUGAUCCUACGUCCCAUAUUCACUUGGAAGGACUAUAUAACCAGACCCCCUAGCCCAAGGAGGAGAGCACCUCUCAACCCUAAUUCAUUAUUCAUCAGGGAGAAGAAGUCUCUGAUCAAGCCCUAGAGCCACCACAUCAAUUAGAUCUCUAGAUUAGCAUAACUACAUAGGAUUAGAACUAGAAGGAGUCAAUCUUCGAUUGGUUUCCAGAUCUAUCAGGAGGAUUCUUGGUAAUUCUCUAUUGUUCUUCAAUUGUUCAUCUUUGUUCUUCAAUAUUAUGAAUAUGACUUUGUUCUACUUCAAUAUAUUGAUUAUGACUUUGCUCUACUUGUUUAUAUUCACAAUUAUAUUGUUCUUAGUUUAUCAUAGUUAUAUACUUGGCUUAGUUAGAUUGGAAUUAUAUACAUGUUUAGGAUCGUAUAGCGUUUAUCCAUCGGAUCUAUGGGUAAAUGAUAGAUAUUGUGUAGGCGUGGUGCUUAUACCGUAUUUAUCUGCGAUUGUACCCAAUAUGCCAGAUCGUGGGGUAGUUCGUGAUAGUGACAGCUUCAUUGAUUCUUAUAUAGUCCCCCUCUCGUGUAUUGGGCUGGCAGAGCAAUAUUAUUACAGGGGAGUGAUUACUAUGUUUCUCAUUUACCUUGCUAAUAUCACUAUGCAUGGGUGUAGUCUUGUCUCGCAAUGAUUGCUAAGUAUGCUUGCACUAAUUAUGAUAAUGGUAGACUAUAUAGUUGAGAAUAACUUAGGGAAUAUUCUUGUAGUUCGUUCUAAUACCAUGCUAAUGACUUUCUAGAGUAUCUAAUUAAGGUGCUUAUCAUAUUUAUUAUGUGGCUAGAUCAGAUUAAUUAUCCUUGUCACUAUUUAUUAUUUCAUAUAUCUUUUAUGUGACACUUAUCCCUGUAUGAAGAGUUAGAUAAAUGUUCUCAAUUAUACAUGCAAUGAUAGAUACUCAAUCUCAUAUUCUAUUCUAUUAUCAAUAUUGAUGAUUGUUAAUCCCUUUCCAGUGGUAAAAAUAUAAAUAACGAUACCUGGAAUACUUCUCGGUUAAAAUGCUGCAUCGGUAUUAAUCUGUGUGCUUGCAGAUCCCAUUCAUUAUUUAUUUAGAAGAGCAAUUGCAUAUUUCAAUACCGCGUCUCUCAUAUCAUGCUGGGGAUGACAACUUGGCUUAAGUGGUGUGAGGGAUAGGUUUGACAUUUUUGGCACCGUUACUAGAUUUAGAGAACUUAGUCUACUUUUGGUAAUGAUGUUAAGAAUACCCAACAAGCAUUUUUGGCGCCGUUGCCAGGGAAGGUUGAUUACUAAUCAGGAAUGGAAUAAAAGAUUUUGAGUUAUCAUUCGCACCACUAAUAUGAUUGAGCUUAUCUAUUCUCUCAUACAGUUUUACCCCGAUAUUUUUCUAUUUUAUCUUAUGCAGGGGAAUGUAUGAAUAAAAGACAUCUUCCAGGAAAUUUUGUUGACAAUUCCGAAGCAUUAUUUAAGAAGACGAGAGCCAAGCUCAAGAAGAGAUCAUCAACACUUCAGCAAGAAGCUUCAUCCAAUCAAGAAGAUCACAGGAACAUGUCUUCAGACUUCGAGGCCAUGGCGAACAAAUCAAUCCGCGAGUUCUCAGCUCCCACUACGGACAACAUCCGCAAUGGACCUUGUCGACGAAAGCUAGUCGGCAGUCUACCUUGGGGUAUACCCACGGUAGUAGUUUAUCGGUAGACGGUGCGCAAACUAGGAACUCGAUGGUGACGCAAGACACGGACAAGCUUUUUAUCCAGGUUCGGCCGCCGAGUUGGCGUAAUACCUACGUCCUGCGUCUUGUUGUAUUGGAUUGUGUUGAGAUAAUGUGUUCUAGGGGGGUCCCUUGCCCCUCCUUAUAUAGUCCGGAGGGCAGGGUUACAGAUCUGGAAACUAAUCCUAGUCGGUUACAAUUGCCAUGGAUAGUUCGAUAUCAAUUCCUAUUCUAACCGACUAGAAUCCUGCUUGAUCUCCACGUCUUGUUUCCUUGCGCGAAACUCCAGACAGUCGGAUCAAGCCUCGAGCUGUCCUCGUGAUGGGCCAAGCCUCCUGGCCCAAGUCUAGCCGUAAGGGUAUAGGGGUUUAUACCCCCACAGCUAGUCCCCGAGCACCAUGUAUUGUGAAGUAACACGCCGUCUUGAGCUUCUUCGACCAAUGAAACUUUAUAUCUUUAGUCAUUAUGAAAAUUGCCCAAAUAGUUGCGACAACAGUUUGAACAAAUCUAAAAGCAUCCAAUUAACUUCGUCAUCGAAGAAGCCAAUUGUUCAAAGAAUGCAUGGUGCUCUUGAGAAAAAAUAUUCCUUUUUUGGUGAAGUGUGCCCACUUUACUUUUCGAAAAGUAUAGUCCAUCAAAAAGACAAGCAAGUUCACCGCAAGGUGAAGUGUGCCCACUUAGUCCCCGAGCCUGGUAGGAGGUGACGUAGUCACGUGGUGCCAGGGUCCAAAGAAGAAUCUCCAAAGCUGCUUUGAAUGUGAGAUGCAUCGCUAGAUGCAUCGUACCGAUGUAGUCCCCGAGCUUGCUGGAAGGCGAAGUAUGAGCCUUGUAGCAAGGUCUAAAAAACCGAAAUUAUCCAGUCCCCGAGCAUCUCAUGCUCGUUUACCAUAGAGUUUGCAGUUCGUCGAGCUGGUCAACCAGUCCGCGGGUGUACAACGGUCGGCAAACAGUUCAGCUUGCUAAUUUCCAAAGCAAUAAACUAAGCGACCAGUCCCCGAGCAUUAAGCGCUCGGUGGUCGGAGCAGUCUAAACAAAUCUGACGACCAGUAUCCGAGCACCAAAUGCUCGUUGGUCAGUGCGCUCCUUGAAGUUCUGAGUUGCUUCACUGGACGACCAGUCCCCGAGCAUCGAGUGCUCGGUGGUCGGUGCAGUCGUUGAAUUUCCGGGUUAAUAGACUGGGCGACCAGUCCCCGAGCAUCAAGUGCUCGGUGGUCGGUGCAGUCGCUGAAUUUCCGAGUUAAUGGACUGGGCGACCAGUCCCCGAGCAUCAAGUGCUCGGUGGUCGGUGCAGUCCCCGGAUUGUUGACUCUCUGCCAUUUUUGUCUGCUUGUUUUGAAAAAAUUUCUCUAGAAAAAAGUUGACGUGACGAGACCUCCUGACGGGAUGUCAGAUGGAUGCAUGAAAAGUUGCGCCUGGCAACUGUACAGCCGCCCUUUGCGCGGUUUGAGAAAAGGAAACCAUCAAUUUGUACGAAAACUCCGCCGCAUUAAUUGUCGAUAAUCAUUGGAAACCGAAAUGCCGCAUCCACCGUAUGGCCCGCCCACUUCCCGAGAAUGCGGGAAGUGGGAAGGGUGAAGUUGUGGGUUAUAAGAGCUCGACAGUUCCCCUUGUACUGCUUACCCUGCCAUUGCCUUCAAGCCCUCCACUCUUGCCUCCUUCAAUCACCUACACCUUCCAAACUCGAAUCCACUUCCUCACCUCCAAUGGCGAAGAGCGACUCGAAGAAGAGGGCCGAGCUGAUGGCCAAGGAGUGGAAGAAAUCCCGCAGCACCGCAAAGUCCCUCGGUGACCUCGUCAAUAUGGGGCUACUGCACAGCCCGGAGCUCGGCGGCUGGAGGGGCACCGGAGGGGGAGAGCUACCCCGACCCCCGCGCCGGUGAGAUCGUGUUUGAGGAUUUCCUUAAGAGGGGUUUUGGGGUGCCUGUUCACCCUUUUCUUCAGGGUCUUCUUUUGUAUUAUGAGAUCGGGAUUUGCAAUCUGCACCCGAACUCAAUCCUUCUUGUUUCUACUUUUAUCCAUUUGUGCAAGGCCUAUGUAGGCAUAGAACCGCACUUCGAUCUCUUUCGCUAUCUUUUUUGUUUGAGAAAGAAGGGAGCAGUUGGAGGCUCUAAGGUUGCAGGUGGAGUAUACCUCAACCUUCGCGACGGAAUGAAGAACCGCUAUCUGCACUGCCCCUGGAACACUUCCCUGACUGAGUGGUACAGGAAGUGGUUCUACAUCAGGAAAGAACCGGGCAGCUCCACGUUCUGCGACGUGGGCUACAUCCCCGAGAAGAGGGUGAGCUGGACCGAUCGCCCGGAGUUCGACGGUCAGGUGGCAGACCUAAUGAAGCUGAUCGACUGGUCGCGCCUGGACGGGCUAGGCGUGGUCGGCAACUUUGUGUGCCGUCGGGUGACGUCCUGCCAGAAGAGGGUCCACUCGGCGUACGAGUAUGCCGGAAGCGUGGACCCGACCAGGAUGCGACCCGAGAUCUUGGAGAAGGUGGAGGUACAGCAGCUGUUGAACGAGCUAUUCAACUUCGCGGACGGAGGCUUCAUCCGUGGUAGUGAUCGGGUGCAAGCAUUCAAGUUGGGGCGACCAGCACCUAAGGUAUGUUACUGAUUAUUUUGCUUUAGCAUUCGUAUAUUGUCUGCAGCUGACUUAUCGUUGUUACUUUUGCAGAUCGGAGAUGUUGACCGGUGCACAGUGUACGUAUCACUGGCACCUGGAAUGGAGAAUCCUGCGGGAGAAGAUCCGCGGGAGGAAGACGCUGCUCGGUGUACUCAUUACACCAGCAGUGAGGAGGACCAGGCCCGCCCCGCCCCGACCACCGAGGAUAGAGUGGCGGGGAAAAGGCCAAUGGCGGCGGAUCCGUCGCCGGCGCUGACGCUGCCGGCAGAGAGCAGCCGAGCGCCAAAGCGCCGUCGGUUCGUUCGGAUUACCGACGACGACGACGAGGAGGAGGAGGCCGCACCGUCGUUGGUCCGAAGGCCUCAUAGCCGUCCGGACAGCGUGCCGACCACUGCUGAUCGGGUAUCCAGCGACCCUCCUGCGCCUCGCGUCACGGAGACGGGGGCACAGGUGCCGACUGGCCGGGCAAGGAGGAGGUUCACCGCGACCCACUGUCGAUCGGACCUGUAAGUGUUCAACUUUCGUAUUUUUUUUAGCUGUUGUUGAAAAUAUCGCUCUGUUAUGUAGCGCGGCGUCGGACGUCAACCCCGACCAGGCCGCAGAGCAGGGGGCGGCCGCUCCUGUUGCCGCCGUUGAGGACGCCGCGCCACAGGUCACUGAGCAACCUGCAGCGGCGGCGGGCGCUGAGGAUCAAUCUGCCCCGGCGAGUGCCGAAGAGGGCACUCAGCCGAGGGUUGAGGAGGCAGCAAGGAACCCUCCCCCGAGUACUGUUGCAGAGGGGGAGAGCAGAGUCCCGACUCCUCCAGCCGAAGAAGGGAGGGUGCCGUCACCGCCCCGAGCAGGGGCUUCUUCGCCCGUGGGCUCCCCUGGCCUAAACCAGGGACCAGUGAUGCCCUCAACCGCAGCCGGAGGCAGUGCGGCAAACGAGGAGCCCCAGGAGGCCUCUGACGACAACGUGGAGGUCCAGGGUCGUCCCCGGGAUGGCCGCCAGCACGUCUACGUGUGGCGCCAACGCGGGGACCACUUUAUUGGACACGAGGAGCUCGCGGAGACGGAGGAGGCCGCGAGGGUGGAGCGCGCGGCUAAGCGCCUCGUGGACGAGGUUAAGGUAGGUGGUCCUGUGUGCUCUUGGUAUAACUUUGUGCAAUUUUCCUGUGUUCGACAUUUGUCCUUUCUUGCAGGGUGCGAUGAAAACGGCGAAGUACCGGAAACGGUGCUUUGACCAGAUCGAAGGAAUUGUGGCCGAGAACAAGGCCCUGGCCGCGGAGGUGGAUCGGCUUCGGUCAGAAGUUGGAGAAAAAGUAUCCGAGAUGAGCGCUCAGGAAGAGCACCAUCUCGAGCUUACCCGACGCUUGGCCGAUCAGUUUCGGCAGCGAGAAGGUUAGUCUCGCACUCCGAGGCAGCUGCUUGUAGCUGCGUUGGUUAACUCCGCUGACCAGAGGACUAUUCAUGUAGGUUUGGAGGGGGAGGUCGCACGCCUUCGUCAGGAGAAAGAGCAGCUCAGCCAAGAGCUUGCCAGUGCGCUGGAGGCAGGGCGCCGAGCAGGAGAGGAGUUGGGUCGGAGGGACCAGGAGUUGUCUGGUAAUACGCGCCGCCCCGUUAUCUGCCACUGAUCGCUCUUUUCGAUAUGUUGAAAAUAACAUCUUGCUUGAUUUGCAGUGCUCAAGGUGAACGCCAAGAAGCACUUGGACGAGCUGGUCAAGGACCGGGACUCCUGGAAGGUCAAUUGUUGUAAGAUCUGGAAAGGAGUAUCCCCUGUUCUAGACUUGAUCAGCCCCGAGCUGCCGGAGAGCCAGCCCCGCGCGCCGAGAUUGACUCCAGUUGAAAAGGCGCAACAGGCGUGGGACUGGCUCCAGCAAUUCGUGAAGGACGCCGGGGAGUUUGCUGGCGCGCAUGUCCUUAGCAUGGUGCGCGCCCACUACCCCCUGGUCGACUUGACCAGGCUGGAGAAGGGGUAUCCCAAGGAGGUCGGCCCGCAGGAGGCGAACGAACUUUGGGGUGGUCUGCUGGAUUUGUCGUCGACGGUGAUCGGCGACAUCAAUCUAUGCGGAACGGCCACUCCCCCCGACCAGCCGGGUGCAGACAGGUCGGCCAGGGAGCUGUCGGGCACGUCCAUUGCGGGAGAUGGGCGGUCGACGCCUGCGGUCUUGACCAGCCAGGCGCCGGUGGCCCCGACUCCUUCGUCCGGGCAGCAAGGCCAGGCGGGUGAUCAGCCCGAGCAGUAGGCCAGUAGGAUAGUCUGUAGGAGUAGACUAGUGUCUGCCCGUCAGGGUGUUUAUUGUAAACUUUGUAUGUAAAGUUUGUAAUAAAGUUUGCUUUUGUCGUGACUACUAUUUUGAGCGCUGUGGAGUUAUCUGAGUGACGUGCCACUGUAUUUGACUUUGUAGUCGCUAAGAGCUUCCGUUGUAGAAGGCUUUCCGAGUUCUGCGUGUAACAAAGUGUAGGCAAAAAAGAGAAACUUUUAUUAUUGACAGCUAUAAGAUAUUUACAAGCGAAAGUGACUAGAGCUUAUGGGUAAAAUCGGCGCAGUUUGUCUAUGUGCCAAGAGUUAGGCACGCGUGUUCCGUCUGGGUAUGCCAAUCUGUAGGAUGUGGGUCGUGUGACUUCGGCGACCACGAAGGGUCCUUCCCAGGGAGUGGAUAGCUUGUGCAUUCCCUCUUGGCUUGUUUUCCACCUAAGUACCAGAUCGCCGACCACGAAGGAACGGUCCUUGACGUUCCUGUUGUGGUACCGCCUGACUGCCGCGAGAUACUUUGCUGUUCGGAGACAAGAAUUCAAACGCUUUUCUUCCAUGCAGUUGAUUUCAAGCUCUCUGGCGUUGUCGGCUGUUGACUGGUCGAAGUUUUCAAUCCUAGGGGAACCGAAGGUUAUGUCAGACGGCAGGACUGCCUCGGUGCCGUAAACCAUGAAAUAGGGUGACACUCCUGUUUUCCGACUAGUCUGAGUUCGGAGGCCCCAGACCACGGCCGGUAACUAUUUCAUCCAUCGACCGGGUGCUCUGUCGUUCUCGGUGUACAGCCUUUUCUUUAGGGCGUCAAUGAUCAUUCCGUUCGCGCGCUCAACUUGACCAUUGGCCCGUGGGUGAGCUACUGACACGUAUUUUAUGACAAUGCCCCUGUCAUCACAGAAGUCCCAAAAUGUGGUGCCAGUAAACUGAGUACCCAGGUCAGUAAUUAUACUGUUUGGAAUCCCGAAUCUAUGUAUGAUUUGAUUAAGGAACUCCACAGCCUUCUCGGAGGUUGCUUUGACCAGUGGCAUGUAUUCAAUCCACUUGGAGAACUUGUCGAUUAACACGAAAACGAACUUGAAGUUGCCAGGGGCCGGUUUAAAUGGCCCGAUCAUGUCGAGCCCCCAGCAGGCAAAGGGCCAGGAUGACGGGAUGGUUUGAAUCUCAUGAGCAGGUACGUGGGUCCUUUUAGCGAAGAACUGACAUCCCUCGCAGUGUCGGACCAGUUUUUCUGUGUCGUUAACCACGGUUGGCCAAUAAAAACCUGCUCGGAAGGCUUUCCCGACCAGCGUUCUGGAUGCGGCGUGAUUGCCGCAGGAUCCGGCGUGUAUGUCCUCUAGGAGCUUGAUGCCAUCAUCUUGGGAUAUGUAUUUGAGCAGUACUUUAGAACUUGCAUUUUUCCGCAUAAGUUUGCCGUCCACCAGUAAGUAAUUCUUUGAUCGUCGAAUGAGGCGCUCAUUCUCUGUUUUGUCCUGAAAGCCAGACUCGUCCGAUAUAUAUCUUAUGAAUGGGGUGCGCCAAUCACGGCCACUGGUUGUCGGAGUGGCAUCGUCUAUGAGCAUUGCCUCAGUGAGUUGCUUUUCGACCAGGCCUGUGCCCACACUUGGCUCCUGGAUGUCCUGGACGAAAAUGCCCCACGGGAUCUGGGCCCGAGAUGACCCUAACUUUGACAACGCAUCUGCUGCCUGGUUCUUAUCCCGGACCACGUGGAUGUACUCUAUGCCAUAGAAGUUGGUUUCCCAUUUGCGAAUUUCUUUGCAGUAGAGAUCCAUCUUCUCGUGGGUUGCGUCCCACUCCUUGUUGAGCUGAUUGAUAACUAAAGCAGAGUCGCCAUAGACAUAGAGGCGUUUGACUCCCAGCUCAACGGCUAGCCUUAUGCCGUGUAGGCACGCUUUGUAUUCGGCGACAUUGUUUGAUGCCGGAAAGAGGAUCCUAAGGACGUAACGCAGUUUGUCCUUGUUAGGCGAUACAAACAGUAUCCCAGCGCCGGCGCCGUUGAUGUUCAAGGAUCCGUCAAAGAACAUUGACCAGUGGUCGGAGACGUCGGGAACGGGAGGCUCGUUGAGAUCCGUCCAUUCAGCAAUGAAAUCGACCAAGGCCUGAGACUUGACUGGGGUUCGGCUCUGGAAUUCCAGGGAAAAUGGGCAUAAUUCCAUCGCCCAUUUUACGAUUCUGCCGUUGGCAUCUUUAUUGCGCAGAAUGUCCCCAAGUGGGAAACUGGUGGUGACCAAGACUCGAUGGCCAUCGAAGUAGUGCUUCAGCUUUCUUGACGUUAUUAGAAUGGCGUAUAUGAGCUUCUGUAUUUGUGGGUACCUGGCCUUGGACUCAUUUAGGACUUCGCUUAUGAAGUAAACGGGUCUCUGGACCUUGUAGACAUGACCUGGCUCGUCUCGUUCGACCACUAUUGCCGUGGAAACAACCCUGUCGGUUGCAGCAAUGUAAAGGAGUAGGUCUUCAUUGGGCUGAGGCGCUGUAAGAACAGGCGGUGAAGUGAGGAAAGUCUUAAGCUGAGUGAACGCGGCGUCGGCUUCCUUUGUCCAAGAAAACUUUCCCGACGCCUUCAAGAGUUUGAAGAAAGGGAGGCCUUUUUCUCCUAGUCUUGAGAUGAAGCGACUAAGAGCGGCCAUACAUCCGGUGAGCUUCUGAAUAUCCUUGACGUUUUUAGGUGGUCGCAUGUCGAGUACUGCUUUUACUUUUGAAGGAUUUGGCCGUAUGCCGUCGUGACUGACAACGUUGCCGAGCAGUAGACCAGAAGGAACACCGAAGAUGCACUUUUUGGGAUUAAGCUUCCACUUGUACCUAUUAAGCGCCUUAAAAGUUCGGUCUAAGUUGUCAAUUAGGGUGUUUGCAUCCCUUGUUUUGACGACGACGUCGUCUACAUAGGCUUCGACGAGGUCAUCACGAAUCUCGUCGUGGAGGCAUUGCUGUAUGGCCCGUUGAUAAGUGGCUCCGGCAUUUUUGAGUCUGAAUGACAUAGUCGUGUAGCAAUAUGCACCGAAAGGAGUAAUGAAAGACGUUUUUAUCUGAUCUUCUUCCUUUAGCGAGAUCUGGUGAUAGCCAGAGUAGUAGUCUAGAAAAGAGAGGAGUUCGCAUCCGGCCGUUGAGUCGACCACCUCGUCGAUGCGAGAGAGACCAAAAGGAUCUUUAGGAUAGUGUUUGUUGAGAUCAGUGUAAUCAACGCACAUUCUCCAUUCAUUAUUCUUUUUGCAUACAAGAACCGGAUUGGCGAGCCAAUCGGGAUGAUACACUUCUUUUAUGAAUCCGGCUGCUAGAAGCCGUGUUAUUUCUAUCCUAAUAGCCUCCUUUUUGUCACGAGCGAACCGUCGCAGCUUUUGCUUGAUGGGUCUUGUGGUCUUCGAGACAUUUAAGGAGUGCUCGAUCAGGUUUCGUGGGACGCCGGGUAUGUCUGCGGGUUUCCAUGCGAAGACGCUUACGUUGUCCCUUAGAAACCUGACGAGCGCGUCUUCCUAUUUAGGGUCCAGGUUGGCCCCGAUGAGGGCCGUCUUCUCGGGGCUGCCUUCGACCAGCUGCACUUCCUUGUGCUCCUUGGAUUUUGAGUUCUUCCUGAAGGUCUCCUGCUCGGGUAGUCGAAGCUGGUCUGGAGGUAGCUGUGCAGCCUGGGUUGCUGUCUCAGCCAUGCAGAUUGAGAGAUCGAUUGCUUCAGUGAUCUUGAAGCUCUCCUCCUCGCAAGUAUAUGUAGUGUAGACAUUGCCCCUGACAGUUAGGACUCCUUUCUCCGUGGGCAUUUUGAGGACCAGGUAUGAGUAAUGCGGGACUGCCAUGAAUUUUGUCAGCGAUGGUCGGCCCAGUAUGGCGUGGUAAGUUCCAUCAAAGUCGGCGACCACAAAGUUGACGAACUCUGUCCGAAAGUGGUCGGGCGUGCCAAAUUGGACAGGCAGUGUUAUUUGUCCGAGGGGCACUGAACUCUGGCCUGGCAAAACUCCCCAGAAUUGAGCAUCGUAGGGUUUUAGUUGUGCCAGUGAUAUCUUGAGGGCGGGCAGGCUGUUGCGGAAAAGGAUGUCAAUGGAACUUCCUCCGUCUACGAGCACGCGCUCGAACCUGAUGUUGUUGAUGCAUGGGUCCAGGAUUAGAGGGAAACGACCUAGCUCUGGGAUAGCAGCCCACUGAUCCUUUCUGCUGAAGGAGAUCUCCCUGUGCGACCACGGGGGAAAUUUCGGGUCGGCGAUCAGGCCGUCUGUGCUGUCUAUGUUGAGGCAGGCUCUCUUUAAGAGCUUUCUUUCUCGCUUGGAUUCGAUGGAGACCUUGCCCCCGAAGAUGGAGUGGACCACGUCAGUGGGGCUGACAUAUUGGUGUUGAGGGUCCCUAUCUUGGUCGUCGUCCUCGUCUUCGGGGUCGUGCCCGUUUCGUUUUCCAUUUUUCUUGGCUGAGUCGUCUUGGGCGGCCCGCCGCGUAUAGAUAUUUUUGAGGACACAGCAUUCUUCCAUGGUAUGAUUAGACUUUGGAUGCAAUUGGCACGGUCCCUUCAACGUUUUGUUGUAGUCUUCUUGGUAGUCCCGCCGCCCGUUGGGACGCUUGACCAUAUUCACUUCGUGGUCGUGGUCGCGGGGGCGCUUUCCUCUGAAAUCAUCGCGAUUGUCGCGUCGCCUGUCCCAACCUUCUCUGUGAUCACGAUUGUCGGGGCGGCGGUGGUUCCUGUUGUCGAGACGACCGCGACCGUCAUCUCGCCGGGGAGGCUGGUCGGGACCUCUCGCAUCGUCCCGGAUUAGUUUUUCUACGACGUCAGCAUCGGCGUAAUUUUUAGCCGUGGCAAGGAGUUCGGCCAUGGUUGUUGGCCUUUUGCGCAACAGCUUGUUCCUCAGUGCUUCAUGUAAGCGCAGGCCUUUAAUGAAGGCAGAGAUGGCCUCGUUGUGGGAAAUCUUCGGGAUCUUAAGGCGCAUAUCCGAGAAUCGCCGGAUGUAAUCGCGCAAAGGUUCAUUUUUUCUGUCCCUUAUCCUUUCGAGGUCGUACUUGUUUCCAGGCUGCUCGCAUGUAGCGAUGAAGUUGCCGAAGAAAUCCUGGCGUAGCUCUUCCCAAGAGUCGAAGGAGUCCUCGGGCAGGCCAAGGAGCCAUUGAUGACCAGCCUGGUCAAGGACUACUGGGAAGUAGUUGGCCAUGACGUGUUCAUCCCCUGCGGCUGAUCGGACGGUGAUUUCAUAGAGAGUGAUCCAGCUCUCUGGGUUUUCCUUGCCGUCGUACUUUUUGAGUUUCUCGAGCUUGAAAUUGCGGGGCCACAUGACCUGGCGGAUGUGUGAGGAGAACUGUCUCAGGCCCGGGGGGUCAUGCGUUGCAUCAUACUUGAUACGGCGCAGGUUUUCGUGGACUGCUCUCUCCGUGGCGCGCCUGUUGAUGCGGUCCCGGGCAUCUUUGGGAGGGAUGUUGUAUCGAAGAUCCCUAUGCUGGUUUACUUCUUGGCCACGCCUGCGAUUCUGCUUGCGUUGACCGCCAGCGUCCCGACCGCCGUCAUUACACCGUGAAUCUGUUCGAUGGUUGUCGGGGGAACGGCUGCGAUGGUGCCUGCUGGGCUGCGGUGAUGUCCGGCUACGGUGAGUCUGGUCGGAGGCGGCCUCUGUAUAGGAGACGGCCUGGACUCUUUUGAGCAGGGUGGCUGUCUGUCCCAUCGCGGCGAUCAGGUGUGCUCGGACACUAGUUCUGACCCCUUGGCAUUCGGGAGUAUCAGGGAGCCGGUCUAGAUUAGCCAUAGCGACAGCCACAUUGGCGCUCGGCGUUUUGUAAACUUGUUGAUCUCCGACCAUGUCAAAAGCGUCGCUGAGAUUCUGCGGCGGGAUUUGACGUUCCUCGUUCGCGCGUUGUUGGGCGCGAUCGGCGUUACGCUGCUCGCGGAGCUGCCUCUGCUCGUCUGUUUCUCCGUCAACAACCGGCUCGUCGGCGCUGACGUUGAAAACGAUGUCUCCUCGCCGGGGUGGGAAGACCGGGAAACGUGGGAAACCCGGAGGGUGUGACGGGAAAUCCAAGUCGUAGUCCUCAUCCUCGGAAUUUAUGACUUCAGUGGGAACGGAACCAGUGCUCGAAUUUGUGCUGGAAGCCUGGCCGUCCCGUAACUCUUGGAUCGUUACCAUGUUGACGUAAUGUCGAGCUGGUCGACCGCUCCCCUUUGGCACCCAACCAGCUUUAUUAAAGAGGGAUCGGACGUGUCUCGAGUAGAGAGAGGCCGAGUUGUUCAGACCGCGAGGGUAGUCUUCCUCCGGGUUGACCUUGAUCUUGACAGAUCGUCCUGAGGGAGUCGAGGUUAUCGCCAGAGACGUUCCCAGCCGUUCGUGUGUAGCGACACGAGUUGGCCGGUGGGAUUUGAAAAAAUCCGUUGAGGCGGCUUGAUCAGGCUGGCGUAAGAUUCCAUCUACAAGCCGGGAAGCUUCAAGUAGCUUGGAAUGGCGCGGUCAAGUGCCCGGAGAAGGUCUGAGCAGUCGAUCUUCUUUCCCUUGUAGAGCGGGGAUGGUGGUCGGGUGCUCGGAGCCGUCACCCGAGUGGUCGGAGCCGACGUGAUCCCAGAUUGGAUCUGGAUUCCUUCCGAAACCGUAGUCGUGAGACCACCGCCGCGCGUCGUCCACGUGAUCUGGCCGACAGUGAACGUGAGGCCUUCAGGAACGGCCGCGGAAGCUGGGAUUGUGACCAUCUUGUUCGCCGGAGAAGUUGCACGCACACCCCCUACCUGGCGCGCCACUGUCGACGAAAGCUAGUCGGCAGUCUACCUUGGGGUAUACCCACGGUAGUAGUUUAUCGGUAGACGGUGCACAAACUACGAACUCGUUGGUGACGCAAGACACGGACAAGCUUUUUAUCCAGGUUCGGCCGCCGAGUUGGCGUAAUACCUACGUCCUACGUCUUGUUGUAUUGGAUUGUGUUGAGAUAAUGUGUUCUAGGGGGUCCCUUGCCCCUCCUUAUAUAGUCCGGAGGGCAGGGUUACAGAUCUAGAAACUAAUCCUAGUCGGUUACAAUUGCCAUAGAUAGUUCGAUAUCAAUUCCUAUUCUAACCGACUAGAAUCCUGCUUGAUCUCCACGUCUUGUUUCCUUGCGCGAAACUCCAGGCAGUCGGAUCAAGCCUCGAGCUGUCCUCGUGAUGGGCCAAGCCUCCUGGCCCAAGUCUAGCCAUAAGGGUAUAGGGGUUUAUACCCCCACAGACCUGCUGCAGAGAUCGAUGGCAACUUUGAGCUCAAGCCUGGACUUAUCAACAUGGUGCAAUCCAACCAGUUCUGUGGGAAGGCACAUGAAGAUGCUAGUGCUCAUCUGCAACACUUCCUGGAGAUUUGCAACACAUUCACCAUAUCAAGAGUUUCCAAAGAUGCUAUACUACUUCGCCUCUUCCCAUUCUCAUUGUUAGGAAGAGCGAAGCAGUGGUUCUACGCUACAAAGGAGAAGAAUACUACGUGGGCACUGUACUCAACAAACUUCCUGGCUAAGUUUUUUCCCAUGGGCAAGACCAAUGCUCUCCGUGGGAAGAUUACAAGUUUUCAGCAACAAAAUGAUGAAUCUGUUCUAGAAGCAUGGGAGCGCUUUCAAGACUACAUCCUAGAAUGUACCCAUCAUGGAAUGGAGAGUUGGCUAUUGAUGCAGACGUUUUAUCAUGGGCUCGGCAACAGUGCCCGAGAGACCAUGGAUGCUGCAGCUGGAGGAGCAUUCUUAUCACUUACUAUAUCACAAGCCACAGCUCUUGUGGAGAAGAUGGCGUCCAAUCAAAGCUGGAAUGAAGAGAGGACCCAGACAUGCAAGAGAGGUGGAGGUAUGCAUCAGCUGAAGGAGGUAGACAUGCUGUCUGCAAAGCUAGACCUACUCAUGAAGAAGCUCGACGAUAGAGCUGGAGAUAAGAAGGAAGUUAUGCACAUCUACGACUCUCACAUGACUUGUGAGGAGUGUGGAGACACUGGACACUCAGGCAACCACUGCCCUGAGAUACUUGAGGAUGUGAACUACAUCAACAACAACUACUACUACUACAACCGUCCUCAACAAAAUCAAGGUUGGAAUCAACAGAGGCCUAACUACUCAGGUAAUUAUCAAGGUAACAAUUCUUACAACAAUACUAAUAAUUUUCCACCUUUGAGAGAGUUAGUGUCUAAUCAAGGAAAGCUAAUGGAUAACCUAUCUAAGAAAUUGGCAUCUAAUGAUAAAAUGCUAGAAAAUAUAAAUAAUAGAAUGGAUAAUUUCGCUACUGCCAUCAAGAAUCAAAUUAGCUUUAAUAAAAUGAUUAAAUCUCAGUUAAAUCAAAUAGCUGCUGUUGUUCCUGCUACUAACCCUGGUAUACCAUCACAACCGGAAGGAUUAGAAUCUGCAAAUCUUGUAGACAUGUUUGAUGUAGGUAAUUGGAGUUACCCCGUCACUGAAUUCUCUACUGACCUUCUGCCGGUCAAGAGAGGCGAUCCAGGACGCCCCGUCAUCCCAAUCUCCAUCGGCAUGGUGGACGUUCCAGAAGCACUCUGCGACUUUGGCUCUAGUGUCAACAUUAUACCCAGGGUACUCUAUGAGAAAUUCUUUACAUAUCCUUUAUUAGAGACAACCAUGUGUUUGCAGUUUGCAGAUCAGACAAUAAGUUUUCCAAAAGGAAUAGUGAAGAACCUUUAUGUCUGAGUUGGUACCUUAUAUGCCCCAGCAGACUUCAUAGUGGUAGAGACCGGUAAUGAUGAGAGGGCACCCAUCAUCUUAGGGAGGCCAUUCUUGAACACCACGGGAGCUAUCAUCUAUGUAUCUACGUCAAAGGGAGGAAGGAGACAUUUUUGUUCAAGAACAAGACUACACAAAUCCCAGAUCAAUCCAGACGUGAAUCAAGGAAGAGGACCAACAGGAGGAACAGGAACAAGCAAGUGUGGACCGAGUCAGCUAAGAUGGUCACUGUAGUUCAUGGAGGCCAAGAUCAACAACUUAAGUCACCGCUUUUGACCAAGAAGGAUGACCCAGGAAUGCCAAGGAUCUAUUGCUCCAUAAAUGGAUAUAACUUCUAUAAGACGACUUGCGACACCGGAUCGGGCGUCAACAUAAUGGCCGCAGUCACCUAUCAGCUCUUGUUCGGAACCAUGCCCCUAAAACCAACAUACAUUCAGCUCCAGAUGGCAGAUCAGACAUUUCAAGAAGUUAAAGUAAUAGUAACUGAUGUCCCAGUCAAAAUAGAUGAUCAUUUUGUCUACACAGACUUUCAAGUUAUUGACAUGGGAGAAGACGAAUACGAUCCACCCAUCAUCCUUGGAAGACCAUUCCUCAGCACCGUUAAAGCAAUUAUCUACAUUGGAACCGGAGAAGUCAAUAUACACUUCCCCUCAGAGAAGGUACGCCGUUAUUUUACUGACCCUAACUAUAGCGUUGAAGAAUCUAAGCAGGUCAGAAAGAGACGCAACCGCAACCAGAGGAGGGAAAUCAUCAAGGACGGAUGGGCAGACUAUGAAGGAGAAGUGGUAAGGUCAGAAGACGUAGAGUUUAAACAGAAUUAUCAAGAGGAGACCAUAGCACCGAGUCAGGUAUGGAAAGAGAAGAUAACUAUACAUGAAGAGGAGGCGCUGCCGGAAGUACUGACUACGCCACCCAACGAACCUCAGGACAAUUGAGAAAACGGAGAGUCCUGUUCGGAGGACUUAAAAACACCGAACGCCUUGCCAAGAGGUAAACUUGGUAGUUAUCCUUUCCCUUUCAAUUAUUUAAAAAUAGUUUACUUAGUUAAUCAUGUUCGUGCUAUCCUAAAAAGAAAAUAAAAAUGUGAAAAACAGUAAGCCCCAUGUGAGUAGACGAGUGGCAUAAAACCCAUAAGUACAUUCACUGUGGUGGCAUAAAAAUAAAGUAAAUAUUUUUCUGCUUUAUAAAACGAAAAUAUAAAAAUAGGGAGUAACAUUUAUUGAGGAGUCUCAACAUGAUAAAGGCUAGAUAUUUAUGCUAACACUUAAUCAGUUCCACAAGCUUUGUUGUCUAUUUGAGCUCCGCAGAAUUUAAGAAUCAAGAAGACUAGCAGACAGAGGACAUUCUAAUCGCUGUCACAAUGCUGCUGACUUUCAAAUACACCUCUGCCACCUGCUAGCUACAUCAAGAGAAAUUACGUCAAAAUUCAGCUUGGGGGAGAGCACCUCCAUUUAUCCCGCUAAGUAUUUCUAUCUAUCUUUAUACUUAUGUUAUAUUCGAAUUUAAAUAUAUAUAACUAUGGAAAAACCAAAUAAAGAUUUCAUGCUUAUAUAUAUAUAUAUAUCUUUUGCUUAGUGUGUUUAAUAAAUAAAUAAAGUGGCUAUGCUAAUAUGUAUCUAAAUAAAACUUAAGCAUGGAUAUGAUGAAUAGUUGCUCUGCUUAAUUUGCACAUUUUAAGUUCUCUCUCAAGUUUAGACAUAACUGUUAUAAUUUAAAUCUUGCUCUAGACCUAAACUUGUGGGAUGAAAAUUUGAUCUGAAGUCUAAGUUGUUAACGGAUACGAUAUGGAAAGGUUGAGCUGCUGUUUAUCUGUUCCUAGAGAUGCUAGAAUUCUGGGAAUUUUAUCUUUAAAAAUCUUUAAAAUAUUGCAUGAUGAGUUCCUGUAUGAUGAGAGUUUAAAUUCUUACCACAGCCAUAUAUACAUGCUUGCUAGACUUUGAGCCACACAUUUACUAUUUACUGCUUAUGAGCAUUGAGUGUGGUCAAGCUGUGUAGACCCUUAGGAGCUUGUCAUGUGGUUAAAUCAAGAUUCACUUGCACGUUCACUCAUAUAUGCUACUUCUACUCCGGAAGUACCAUCCACAUAUAUCCAUCCAUUUCCAUCUCCAGAAUCACCCAAAAUAUUCUACUCCUAAAUCCGGGAGAGAAUAUCCAAAAAUAUUUAUGUUUUUCCCUUGUGAAUUAAAUGCUCCAGUUAUCUUGUUACUACCACUUGCUAUAUUAUCUCAAGAGAUGAGUGCUCUAAAAAAAGAAAAAAAGAUACGAGGAAAUAAAAAGGGGCAAGUGCCCGGAACCUCGAAAGAAAAGAAAAAGUGAGACGAGAGGUAAAAAUGGACAAGUGUCCGACAGUAGAAUUAGGGGUACAAGAUACCCACCUGAGAGAAAAGAAAAAAGAGAAGAGCAUCUCAUUCUCCUCAUAAAGUUUCAAAAAGCAAGGAAGGUAUGUAUCCCCUCAAAGAGCAAAAGUAGAAUUAGACUUUCACCAUUGUUAUCACCAUCAUCACCAUACAUCAUUCAUUCGCCACACAUGCACAUCUUGAUUUGACUUUUUGAUUUGUUUCUUUGGAUCCAUGGUUUGACUAUGCAAUAAAUGUCUUGUAAGUAUGUAUAUUUUAUCUCCCACCUAUGAGCUCCAGAUAUAAAAGCCUUAUAAGAGUAGGGUGAGAGAGAAGGCAAUGUCACUAUGCCUUAUACCACAAAUACUACAUACUUUGAGAGAAGACAUAUACCAUCACUGCCUUGGUAAGGAUCCAGAAAUACCACAAAAGAGAGAUUUGAGAGAAUCAUACAAGGAAUCUCUGAGUUUUAUUUGAAAAUCUGCAAAAACAUCAGAGCUAUAGCUGAUCAAGAAUAAGAGACAUGGCACUUGACUAUUCUAUCUUUUAACUACUCAAGAUAGAAGUGACGGUUACAAGUCCCAUGGUGAAGGUAAAGUAAGUAAGUUUUAAGUCUUGACAGUUUACCCUAACUCAGAGAUAAGAUCUUAUUUAAAAACCAUGUGUACCGUCAAUUUUUAAAGAUAUUGCAACAACUUAUGAUCCAUAGCUGAGUCUAUCCUUGCUCAGGGACGAGCAAGAGGUAAGCUUGGGGGAGUUUGUUGACGGUCCUUAAGUAUCAAAUUUAAUUAUCAAAUAAAUAAAGAAAAGGAUCCAAAAGAAAUCAACAUCUAGACUUAGGGUUUUAUCUGACAGAAUUCCACGAGUUUUGGUGUUUGUCUAUUUCUACAGGGGGUUAUCAGGAAAUACGGAAGAAAGGCCCACAUGUCGGGAUUACAUAGAGAUAUUAACGUGCCGCGCAAUUAUCUUACAUCUAGAAGACUCCAGAAGCCACGAGACCGAAGCGGAGGCGAAACGAGGCCAGAGGUAGGGCGCCCGCCCUGUUCCCCUGGGCGCCCGCCCACCUCUGGAGUCCAAUCAGGACUCUGCUUUGUGGGAGAUCUCCACCGACCUAAAGGAUGAAUCUAAACCAUACAAUCUAUGUCGGUUUGAUCCAACGUCCCAUAUUCACUUGAAGGGACUAUAAAACCAGACCCCCUGGCCCCUGGAGGAGAGAGCCUCUCAACCCUAAUUCAUUGUUCCUCAAGGGAGAAGAAGCCUCUGAUCAAGAUUAGAGCCACCACAUCAAUUAGACAUCUAGAUUAGCAUAGCUACAUAGGAUUAGAACUAGAAGGAGUCAAUCUUCGAUUGGUUUCCGGAUCUGUCAAGAGGAUUCUUGGUAAUUCUCUAAUUGUGCUUCUAAUUGUUCUUCUAAUUAUCUUUGUUCUUCAAUAUUAUGAAUAUGACUUUGUUCUACUUCAAUAUAUUGCUUAUGACUUUGCUCUACUUGCUUAUAUUCAAGAUUAUAUUGUUCUUAGUUUAUCAUAGUUAUGUACUUGGCUUAGUUAGAUUGGAUCUAUAUACAUGCUUAGGAUCGUAUAGCAUUUAUCCAUCGGAUCCAUGGGUAAAUGAUAGAUAUUGUGUAGGCGUGGUGCUUAUACCGUAUUUAUCUGCGAUUGUACCCAAUAUGCCAGAUCGUGGGGUAGUUCGUGAUAGUGACAGCUUCAUUGAUUCUUAUAUAGUCCCCCUCUCGUGUAUUGGGCUGGCAGAGCAAUAUUAUUACAGGGGAGUGAUUGCUAUGUUUCUCAUUUACCUUGCUAAUAUCACUAUGCAUGGGUGUAGUCUUGUCUCGCAAUGAUUGCUAAGUAUGCUUGCACUAAUUAUGAUAAUGCCAGACUAUAUAGUUGAGAAUAACUUAGGGAAUAUUCUUGUAGUUCGUUCUAAUACCAUGCUAAUGACUUUCUAGAGUAUCUAAUUGAGGUGCUUAUCAUAUUUAUUAUGUGGCUAGAUCAGAUUAAUUAUCCUUGUCACUAUUCAUUAUUUCAUAUAUCUUUUAUGUGACACUUAUCCCUGUAUGAAGAGUUAGAUAAAUGUUCUCAAUUAUACAUGCAAUGAUAGAUACUCAAUCUCAUAUUCUAUUCUGUAAUCAAUAUUGAUGAUUGUUAAUCCCUUCCCAGUGGUAAAAAUAUAAAUAACGAUACCUGGAAUACUUCCCGGUUAAAAUGCUGCAUCGGUAUUAAUUUGUGUGCUUGCAGAUCCCAUUCAUUAUUUAUUUAGAAGAGCAAUUGCAUAUUUCAAUACCGCGUCUCUCAUAUCAUGCUGGGGAUGACAACUUGGAUUAAGUGGUGUGAGAGAUAGGUUUGGCAUUUUUGGCACCGUUACUAGAUUUAGAGAACUUAGUCUACUUUUGGUAAUGAUGUUAAGAAUACCCAACAGCCACUUCUUUUACUCCAUGUUCAUAUGCAACAUCUUCCCAAUCCAUUGGUUUUUCCAACAUCACCACAUUCGAGAUCUCCAACCCCCUCAUCCUUUCUAUUUAUAAAAACUUUAAAAGGGUGGUUGUCGAUGCAUAUGUCUAUAUUAAAUAUUGCAGAUCUCGUUGAGUUGAUCUUGAUAUAGGUCAGCGUUGGAGGGGAAACCACUUCGUUGACAUAAAAUUGAUGGUUUCCCAGGGACAAGCUUAGUGUCCUAAAACAAGCACUGAUCAGAUUGUAACAUGAGCUUUUAAUUAUUUGCAACAUUACCUUGUGUGUUGAGCAUAUAAGAAUAAUUGUAAAAAUAUUCCUUCGGGUAUUCUUGUCACUAACCUUUUCAGGAUUGGAGCAAGAAGAUCGGAUGAAUGACAAGCACAAGGUAUGUCCAACCAAUCAUCAUACAACAUUGAAUUAAAUUCAUCCAAACUUGAAUUUUGCAAAAUUCAAGCUUGGGGGAGUGCUUUACAUAAAAACAUAUUUUGCCAUGUUGCUAUGUUGGUUGUCCCUACCUUUGAGACAUGCUCAAUUUGUUAAAUACUAAUCACACUACUUCAUCUCCACUUGAGUAGAUCUCUAUAAAUGCUCUCAUGCUACCUUUAUUUGCUUUAGUAUAUGUCUAGGUUUGGAGUAGUUUCAUUUAUCGCUUAAUUAAACUUGGUGCUUAGUUUAGGAAUGAUUAUCUUACUUCCAAGGGGUUUUAAAUUAAGCAUCGUGCUUAGGUUAAAAAAGCCCUCCUGAAUCAAAUUAGACAUGGUGUCUAGGUUGAUUUUUGAGCCGAUAGUAUGCUAUAGUAGAUAUGGGAUAUUUUGUUGGACUAACCCCUGCAGGAAAACUUUCAAUAUCGACCUGGGAAGUCCUGAGAUAAACUCACAUUGGAGACAAAGAGAGAGACACAUGUAGUUUAACAAUAUACACAAGGAAGGCAUAGCUCACAAGAGAUGAUCCAUGGAGGGUGCCACACACACGAUGCACAACCGCUAAGAGAGGAAAGCUUCCAUAAGGUAAUACUGUACCAUCACUCUUCAAGAAAGGUAACAUCUUAAGGUACUUGAUUAUCACUUCUAUAAGCUUCUCCUUAUUUCUGGCAUUCACAUGAGUAAAAGAGACAAACAUGUAAGAUUUACAACUCUAGAUUAACCAAUCCAAUUAAUUCAGCAUGUUUAGUCCUUUAAUCUUUAUUUAUAGUACUACCUUCGUGAUCCCACACUCCUAAUCAUAUGAACUAAAAUGUUGCACAUGCAAUCUUUGAAAGAUAUAUAUAAAAAAAACAUAAGUAUAGAUAGAUUAUCUUUCCAUUAGGUUGAGUGAUCUGAUCUGACAAAUGUUUUAAAUGCUACACUCAUGAUCUUAUUAUCCAUCAACUUUGUCUUGCUCACUAUGCUGAAGGUUAGAGAGAACAAAUACACUUUUGGUUCUGUUGGUGUUUCCACCAACUGGGCCCAUGCACUUGAUCUCUGCCUUGUCUCUAUGAGCAGGUACACUUCGAGCAAAAUAUGGAGGAGUUUUACAACUCCCAGACUCCACCUAUUGAAGAACCUAGAUCUACGAGCACAAACACACUGGAGAUACUAGACACUCAGGCAAUCACUGCCCUGAGAUGCUUCAGGAUGUAACUACUAGAGCAACCCCAUUGUGGAAGUAAUUACUGACCUUCUAUUGGUCAGGAGAGACAAUCCAGGACGCACCGUCAUCCCGAUCUCCAUCGGCAUGGUGAACUUGCCAGAAGCACUCUGCGACUUUGGCUCCAGCGUCAACAUUAUGCCCAGGGUACUCUAUGAAAAAUUCUUUACACAUCCAUUAUUAGAAACAACCAUGUGUUUGCAGCUUGCAUAUCGUACGCUAUGUUUCCCAACGAGAAUAUUGAAGAACCUCUGCGUCCGAGUUGGUACCUUGUACCCCCAGCAGACUUCGUGGUGAUAGAAACCGGUUCUGAUGAGGGGGCACCCGUCAUCCUAGGGAGGCCAUUCGUGAACACCUCGGGAGCUGUCAUCUACGCUAGUGCUACCAAGAUCAGAUUCUACAUCAAGAGGAGGAAGGAGACGUUUUCCUUCAAGAACAAGACUACACAAAUCUCAGAGCAAUCCCGACAUGAACCAAGGAAGAGGACCAACAGGAGGAACGGGAACAAGCAAAUGUGGACCAAGUCAGCUAAGAUGGACACUGCAGUUCAAGGAGGUCAAGAUCGUCGACUCAAGUCACCAUUCCUGACAAAAAAAAAGGGACGAACCAAGUAUGCCAAGCAUCCAGUGCUCCAUUAAUGGAUACAACUUGUAGAAGACGCUUUACGACACCGGAUCAGGCGUCAACAUAAUGGCCGCAGUCACCUAUCAACUCCUGUUCGGAACCAUGCCCCUAAAACCUACAUACAUUCAGCUCCAGAUGGCAGAUCAGACAUUUUGAAAGGUUAUUGACAUGGGAGAAGACGAGUACGAUCCACCCAUCAUUCUUGGAAGACCGUUCCUCAGCACCGUUAAAGCAAUCAUCUACAUGGGAACCGGAGAAGUCCACAUGCACUCCCCCUCUGAGAAGGUACGCCACUAUUUUACUGACCCUGACUAUAUAGUUGAAGACUCUAAGCAGGCUAGUACAAGAAGAAGACGACGCAACCGCAACCAGAGGAGGAAAAUCAUCAAGGACGGAUGGGCGGACUAUGAAGGAGAAGUGCACCGAGUUAGGUGUGGAGAAAGAAGAUAGUUAUACACGAAGAGGAGGGGCCGCCGGAACCACCGACUACGCCAUCCAGCGAAUCCCAGGACGACUGAGAAAAUGGAGAGUCCCGUUCGGAGGACUUAAAAACACUGAACGCAUGGCCAAGAGGUAAACUUGGUAGUUAUCCUUUCCCUUUCAAUUAUUUAAAAUAGUUUGCUUAGUUAAUCAGGUUCAUAUCAUCUCGAAAAGAAAAUAAAAAUGUUAAAAAUAGUAAGCCCCAUGUGAGUAUGCUCAUGGCAUAAAACCCAUAAGUGGUGGCGUAAAAACAAAAUAAAUAUAUUCCUGUCCUAUAAAAAUGAAAAUAUAAAAAUAAAUUUAUGACCCUACUAAAGAGAGUAAUAUUUAUUAGAGGAAGCUCAACAUGAUAAAGGCUAGAUAUUUAUGCUAACACUUAACUAGUUCCACAAAGCUUUGUUGUCUAUUUGAGCUCCACAGAAUUCAAGGAUCAAAGAAGACUAGCAGACGGAGGACAUCCUAAUCGCUGUCAGGGUGCUGCUAACAUUGAAAUACACCUCCGUCACCUGCUAGCUACAUCAGAAGAAAUUACGUCAAAAUCCAGCUUGGGGGAAAGCACCCCAUUUAUCCAGCUAAGUGUUUCUACUCGCGUUUAUACUUUACUCAAAUAAUAAAAAGAUGCAUAAUCAUAUAAAAACCCAAUUAAAGAUUUUGUGCUUAUAUAUAUAUAUCUUUGCUUAGUUUGCUAUAUAAAUAAAUAAAUAAGUAAAGUUUAUUAUGAACCCUCAUGAUAAGCUCUCACAUGGAAAUGAUGAAUAGUUGCUCUGCCAUGACUAGUUCUCAAAAUUGAAAUCUCUCUCAAGUUUAGGCAUGACUGGUAUUAAUUAAGAUUUGCUCUAAACCUGAACUUGUGGGGAGAGUACUUGAUCUAAAGUCUAAGUGGUUAACGGAUACGAUAUGGGAAGGUUGAGCUGUUGUUUAUCUGUUCUUAGAGAUGCUAGAAUUCUAGAGAAUUUUAUCUUUGAAAAUCUUUAAAAUAUCACAUGAUGAGUUCCUGUAUGAUGAGAGUUUAAAUUCCUACCACAGCCAUAUAUACAUGCUUGCUAGACUUUGAGCCACACAUUUACUUUUUACUGCUUAUGAGCAUUGAGUGUGGUCAAGCUGUGUAGACCAUUAGGAGCUUGUCAUGUGGUUAAAUCAAGAUUCACUUGCACGUUCACUCACACAUGCUGCUUCUACUCCAGAAGUACGCAUCCACAUAUAUCCACCCAUUUCCAUCUCCAGAAUCACCUAAAAAAUAUUCUACUCCUAAUUCGGGAGAGAAUAGCCAAAAACAUUUCUGUUUUCCCCUGUGAAAUAAAUGCUCAAGUUAUCUUGGUUACUACCACUUGCUACAUUAUUUCAAGAGAUGAGUGCUCUAAAAAAGAGAGAAAAAAAAGAAAGAAUACGAGGAAAUAAAAAGUGGCAAGUGCCUGGAACCUCGAAAGAAAAGAAAAAGUGAGAGGAGAGGUAAAAAUGGACAAGUGUCCGAUAGUAGAAUUAGGGGUACAAGAUACCCACCUGAGACAAAAGAAAAAUAAAAUAUAGAGCAUCUCAUUCUCCUCAACAAGUUUCAAAAGAGCAAGAAAGGUAUGUAUCCCCUCAAAAGAGCACAAGUAGAAUUAGACUUUCACCAUUGUUAUCACCAUCAUCACCAUACACCAUUCAUUCGCCACACAUGCACAUCUUGAUUUGACUUAUUGACUUGUUCUUCUCGAUCCAUGGUUUGACUAUGUAAUAAAUGUCUUGUAAGUAUGUAUUAGCUGUCUCCCACUUAUGAGCUCCAGAUAUCAAAACUUUAUUAAAGUAGGGUGAGAGAGAAGGCAAUGCCACAAUGCCUCAUACAAAAAAAUACCACAUACUUUGAGUGAAGGCAUACACCAUUAUUGCCUUGGUAAGGAUCCAGAAAUACCACAAAAGAGAGACUAGAGAGAGUCAUACAAGGAAUCUCUGAGUUUUAUUUGAAAAUCUGCAAAAACUCCAGAGCUAUAGUUAAUCGAAGAACAAGAGACAUGGCGCUUAACUAGACCGUUCUAUCUUUUAACUACUCAAGACAGAAGUGAUGGUUACAAGUCCCAUGGUGGAAGGUAAAAUGAGUAAAUUCAAAUCUUAAAAGUUUACCCUAAUCCAGAGAUGAGAUCUUGUUUGGACGAAUGUGUACCUUUAAGGCAUGAAACUACUGCAGAAACUCUUGAGUUCAUCUUUGCUGAGGGACGAGCAAAGGUUAAGCUUGGGGGAGCUUGUUGACGGUCCUUAAUGCUCACAUUUAACCAUCAACUAAUCAUAGGAAAGGAUCCAACUGCAACUAACACCUAGACUUAGUGUUUUAUCUGACAGAAUUCCACGAGUUUUGGUGUUUAUCUAUUUCUGCAGGGGGUUAUCAGGAAAUACGGAAGAAACGCCCAUACGUUAGGUUUACAUUGAGAUAUUAACGUGCCGCGCAAUUUUCUAUCAUCUAGAAGACUCCAGAAGCCACGGGAACAAAGCAGAGGCUGAGAGGGCUCAGGGACAGGGCGCCCGCCCAAGUCCUUAGGGCGCCCGCCCAGCUACAGUGUCCAAUUCAGACCCGUUUCACGUAUUAUGCUCCACCAACCUAAAGGAUCAAGGAAAACCAUACGAUCAAUGUCGGUUUGAUCUGACGGCCCAGAUUCAUCUGAAAAGACUAUAUAAGCAAGGCCCGCUGGCCCCUGGAGAUCAUAUCUCUUCUAUAGAAUCAAAGCUAGGGUUUCAAUUCUAAAUCCA
Molecule: long non-coding RNA, 29369 nt
Filed under: Sorghum bicolor (sorghum)
Lineage: Eukaryota; Viridiplantae; Streptophyta; Magnoliopsida; Poales; Poaceae
Description: long non-coding RNA (SBIC_LNC010356)
Source: RNAcentral